CUCAUCUUCUGUAACUUCCUCCUGCUGAAUAAGGGGAUAGAAAGGGGAGGCAGCUGAAUCCAAAGCAGUCAACGUAUUUGAACCUCCUUGAGUAAAAGGGAUAUCUAUCAGCUGGAAGUUAUGGCAGUGAAAGAGUCUUGACACUGGGAAGGGAGACACCAGAAAGGACAACAGAAUAAGGAUCUUGAUUGUAUUCUGUUGAUUCAUGCCAAUGCCAUGCUGUUUUGAUUAAUGCAGUGUUGUAAUAAAGUUUGA
RNAcentral lists this long non-coding RNA (255 nucleotides) under Mustela putorius furo (domestic ferret). RNAcentral's name for it is "lncRNA (ENSMPUG00000031313.1)". Lineage: Eukaryota; Metazoa; Chordata; Mammalia; Carnivora; Mustelidae. The record is from RNAcentral.